UAAUACUCCAUAGAUCAUGGGAUCUGGAAUGACCCAUGGUUCAAAGUUCCGGCGCUUAAGGAUCGGUCUGCGGCCUAUCAGGUAGUAGUAGGUGUAACGUACCCCCUAGCCAGUGACGAGUAUGGGCCUUGAGAGAGGGAGCCCAGAGUUGGAUUCUGAGACACGAAUCCAGGCCCUACGGGGCGCAGCAGUCGCGAAAACUUCACACUGGGGGCAACCCCGAUGAGGGAAUUCCUAGUGCUAGGACAUUUGUUCUAGCUUUUCUCUAGCGUAGAUAACUAGAGGAAUAAGGGCUGGGUAAGACGGGUGCCAGCCGCCGCGGUAAUACCUGCAGCCCAAGUGGUGGUCGAUUUUAUUGAGUCUAAAGCGUUCGUAGCCGGUUUGAUAAAUCCUUGGGUAAAUCGGGAAGCUUAACUUUCCGACUUCCGAGGAGACUGUCAAACUUGGGACCGGGAGAGGCUAGAGGUACUUCUGGGGUAGGGGUAAAAUCCUGUAAUCCUAGAAGGACCACCGGUGGCGAAGGCGCCUAGCUAGAACGGAUCCGACGGUGAGGGACGAAGCCCUGGGUCGCAAACGGGAUUAGAUACCCCGGUAGUCCAGGGUGUAACGCUGCCGACUUGGUGU
Molecule: ribosomal RNA, 624 nt
Filed under: uncultured archaeon
Lineage: Archaea
Description: bacterial SSU rRNA
Rfam family: Archaeal small subunit ribosomal RNA
Source: RNAcentral